This 264-nucleotide small nuclear RNA is filed under the name Peromyscus maniculatus bairdii (prairie deer mouse). RNAcentral describes it as "7SK RNA (ENSPEMG00000003446.2)". It matches the Rfam family "7SK RNA". Rfam says of the family: 7SK was discovered as an abundant small nuclear RNA in the mid-70s but a possible function has only recently been suggested. Two independent studies have found that 7SK RNA binds the CDK9/cyclin T complex (known as elongation factor P-TEFb). P-TEFb activates transcription by phosphorylating the C-terminal domain of RNA polymerase II. The record is from Rfam by way of RNAcentral. Lineage: Eukaryota; Metazoa; Chordata; Mammalia; Rodentia; Cricetidae.
GAGCGUGUGCAGAUGAUCCAAUGACCGUCUUUUACCCCAUGGAUCACCAGGGUUGAUUCUCCUGACCUGAUUGGCUGGGCUGGUGUCCCAUUCCUCCCUCACUGCUCCCUGUGCAUCACCCUGCAAAGCUGCACUUUCUCAAACAGAAGAGGACCAGUCUUCAGUCAAGGGUAUCCAAGCAGCUGUGCUCUCCUGCUGGAACCGCCUCUAGCAGUUCAGGCUCUCAAUGAAGGAGAGCCAUCGGCCAACAUAAUGAAAACUGUU